CUACGGGAGGCUGCAGUAGGGAAUAUUGGUCAAUGGACGAAAGUCUGAACCAGCCAUGCCGCGUGCAGGAAGACAGCCUUAUGGGUCGUAAACUGCUUUUAUACGGGAAAAAACCCCUGAACGUGUUCGGGGCUGAUGGUACCGUAAGAAUAAGGAUCGGCUAACUCCGUGCCAGCAGCCGCGGUAAUACGGAGGAUCCAAGCGUUAUCCGGAUUUAUUGGGUUUAAAGGGUGCGUAGGCGGAAUAAUAAGUUAGUGGUGAAAUCCUACGGCUUAACUGUAGAACUGCCAUUAAUACUGUUAUUCUUGAGUACAUUUGAAGUGGGUGGAAUGUGUUAUGUAGCGGUGAAAUGCUUAGAUAUAACACAGAACUCCAAUAGCGAAGGCAGCUCACUAAACUGUAACUGACGCUGAGGCACGAAAGCGUGGGGAGCGAACAGGAUUAGAUACCCCCGUAGUC
RNAcentral lists this ribosomal RNA (459 nucleotides) under uncultured bacterium. Its description in RNAcentral is "partial 16S ribosomal RNA". It matches the Rfam family "Bacterial small subunit ribosomal RNA", at positions 339 to 795 of the family's 1533-position model. The record is from RNAcentral.